UACGUAGGGGGCAAGCGUUGUCCGGAUUUAUUGGGCGUAAAGAGCGUGUAGGCGGUUAGGUAGGUCCGUUGUGAAAACUCGAGGCUCAACCUCGAGACGCCGAUGGAAACCAUCUGACUAGAGUCCGGAAGAGGAGAGUGGAAUUCCUGGUGUAGCGGUGAAAUGCGCAGAUAUCAGGAAGAACACCCGUUGCUAAGUCUGCUCUCUAGUACGGUACUGACGCUGAGACGCGAAAGCGUUGGGAGCGAACAGG
Molecule: ribosomal RNA, 253 nt
Filed under: uncultured bacterium
Lineage: Bacteria
Description: partial 16S ribosomal RNA
Rfam family: Bacterial small subunit ribosomal RNA
Source: RNAcentral